RNAcentral lists this ribosomal RNA (425 nucleotides) under uncultured prokaryote. Its description in RNAcentral is "bacterial SSU rRNA". It matches the Rfam family "Bacterial small subunit ribosomal RNA", at positions 355 to 774 of the family's 1533-position model. The record is from RNAcentral.
UGAGGAAUCUUGCGCAAUGGGGGAAACCCUGACGCAGCAACGCCGUGUGAGUGAUGAAGGCCUUCGGGUCGUAAAGCUCUGUUUGAAGGGACGAAAUGUAUUUGAUUAAUACUCAAAUAAUGUGACGGUACCUUGAGGAAGCACCGGCUAACUCCGUGCCAGCAGCCGCGGUAAUACGGAGGGUGCAAGCGUUGUUCGGAAUUACUGGGCGUAAAGGGCGCGUAGGUGGCUAAGUAAGUCAGGUGUGAAAUCCUUCCGCUUAACGGGAGAAGUGCACUUGAAACUGCUUAGCUAGAGUACGGGAGAGGAAGGUGGAAUUCCUGGUGUAGAGGUGAAAUUCAUAGAUAUCGGGAAGAACACCGGUGGCGAAGGCGGCCUUCUGGCCCGUUACUGACGCUGAGGCGCGAAAGCGUGGGGAGCAAACA